This 383-nucleotide ribosomal RNA is filed under the name uncultured bacterium. Its description in RNAcentral is "bacterial SSU rRNA". It matches the Rfam family "Bacterial small subunit ribosomal RNA", at positions 28 to 416 of the family's 1533-position model. The record is from RNAcentral.
GACGAACGCUGGGCGGCGUGCCUAACACAUGCAAGUCGAACGGAGUACCUUCGGGUGCUUAGUGGCGAACGGGUGAGUAACGCGUGAGAAACCUACCUUUCAGUGGGGGACAACAGUUGGAAACGACUGCUAAUACCGCAUAAUGUUAUCUGGGGGCAUCCCUGGGUAACCAAAGAUUUAUUGCUGAAAGAUGGUCUCGCGUCUGAUUAGCUAGUUGGUGAGGUAACGGCUCACCAAGGCGACGAUCAGUAGCCGGUCUGAGAGGAUGAACGGCCACAUUGGGACUGAGAUACGGCCCAGACUCCUACGGGAGGCAGCAGUGGGGAAUAUUGGGGCAAUGGGGGAAACCCUGACCCAGCAACGCCGCGUGAAGGAAGAAGGCC